This 332-nucleotide ribosomal RNA is filed under the name Hammondantus psammophilus. Its description in RNAcentral is "eukaryotic LSU rRNA". It matches the Rfam family "Eukaryotic large subunit ribosomal RNA", at positions 656 to 954 of the family's 3401-position model. The record is from RNAcentral. Lineage: Eukaryota; Metazoa; Arthropoda; Insecta; Coleoptera; Scarabaeidae.
GAAACACGGACCAAGGAGUCUAGCAUGUGCGCGAGUCAUUGGGACUCUGAUAAACCUAAAGGCGCAAUGAAAGUAAAGGUCCGCCUCGCGCGGACCGAGGGAGGAUGGGCCCGUCCCCGGGCGGGCCCCGCACUCCCGGGGCGUCUCGCUCUCAUCGCGAGAAGAGGCGCACCCAGAGCGUACACGCUGGGACCCGAAAGAUGGUGAACUAUGCCUGGUCAGGACGAAGUCAGGGGAAACCCUGAUGGAGGUCCGUAGCGAUUCUGACGUGCAAAUCGAUCGUCGGAACUGGGUAUAGGGGCGAAAGACUAAUCGAACCUUCUAGUAGCUGG